CUGGUCAAGAAAAUAAGAGUUCACGAUCUAGGAGAUCCUGCUCGCCUCUGAUCUCCCCACUGCCCUCCCGGGCUCCCUUGGAGGCGCCUGGAAAGCUGAGCCGCCGCCAGCCACCCGCCAGAACAGGGGCGGGGCAGGGCCGGGGGUCCGCACAGAGCAUGCGCAGACGAAGCACGGCGCAUGCUCCGCAGCGCGGCGGGUCCACAGAUGAGGGGAGUCAAGACUCCCGCGCCCCACCACCCCCGGCGGAGCUGCUGCUGAGCCACUCAAUCUGAGCCCUGGCUACUAAUAAAGUUCGUUUAAAAAUCAUAAUCAUUCUUAAGAGAGCGAAAGAGGGUGCGAACUAGCCGCUCGGCCCCGCAGGGAGAGCUGGCG
Molecule: long non-coding RNA, 375 nt
Filed under: Pan troglodytes (chimpanzee)
Lineage: Eukaryota; Metazoa; Chordata; Mammalia; Primates; Hominidae
Description: long non-coding RNA NONPTRT015180
Source: RNAcentral